RNAcentral lists this small nucleolar RNA (216 nucleotides) under Notamacropus eugenii (tammar wallaby). RNAcentral's name for it is "Small nucleolar RNA U3 (ENSMEUG00000016972.1)". It matches the Rfam family "Small nucleolar RNA U3". From Rfam's summary of the family: Small nucleolar RNAs (snoRNAs) are involved in the processing and modification of rRNA in the nucleolus. There are two main classes of snoRNAs: the box C/D class, and the box H/ACA class. The record is from RNAcentral. Lineage: Eukaryota; Metazoa; Chordata; Mammalia; Diprotodontia; Macropodidae.
AAGACUAUACUUUCAGGGAUCAUUUCUAUAGUAUGUUACUAGAGAAUUGUGGCUGAAAGUGUAUCACGGAGGUAACCACGAGGAGGAGCUGUAGUGUUCUCUUCUGAGCGUGAAGCUGGUUUGUGACUCUGCUUGUUGGCAGGUGUUACUUACCAUUGAUGAUCGUUCUUCCCUUCCUUCGGGAAGGGUGAGAGGAAGAGGACACAGGCUGAGUGA